This 492-nucleotide ribosomal RNA is filed under the name uncultured bacterium. RNAcentral's name for it is "partial 16S ribosomal RNA". It matches the Rfam family "Bacterial small subunit ribosomal RNA", at positions 29 to 507 of the family's 1533-position model. The record is from RNAcentral.
AGUGAACGCUGGCGGUAGGCCUAACACAUGCAAGUCGAACGGCAGCACAGUAAGAGCUUGCUCUUACGGGUGGCGAGUGGCGGACGGGUGAGGAAUACAUCGGAAUCUACUUUUUCGUGGGGGAUAACGUAGGGAAACUUACGCUAAUACCGCAUACGACCUACGGGUGAAAGCAGGGGAUCUUCGGACCUUGCGCGAUUGAAUGAGCCGAUGUCGGAUUAGCUAGUUGGCGGGGUAAAGGCCCACCAAGGCGACGAUCCGUAGCUGGUCUGAGAGGAUGAGCACCGACACUGUAGAUCUGACACACGCCCCAGACUCCUACGGGGCGCCGGAGUGGAGUAUAUGAGAAUAUGGGCGAACGCCUGCCCCCGCUACCCCGCGUGUGUAGAGAACGCCUUCGGUUUGAAACCCCCUUUUGGGGAGAGAGAAACAGCACGGUUUUAUACCCCGGUGCUCUGACGAUCCAAAGAGUAUGCGCCCCGUCUCUCCUUG